UGGGGAAUCUUGCGCAAUGGGCGAAAGCCUGACGCAGCAACGCCGCGUGCGGGAUGACGGCCUUCGGGUUGUAAACCGCUUUCAGCAGGGACGAUAGUGACGGUACCUGCAGAAGAAGCCCCGGCCAACUACGUGCCAGCAGCCGCGGUAAGACGUAGGGGGCAAGCGUUGUCCGGAUUUAUUGGGCGUAAAGAGCUCGUAGGCGGUUUGGCAAGUCGGGUGUGAAAUCUCCGGGCUCAACUCGGAGGGGCCACUCGAUACUGCUAUGACUAGAGUCCGGUAGGGGAGCGUGGAAUUCCCGGUGUAGCGGUGAAAUGCGCAGAUAUCGGGAGGAACACCAGUAGCGAAGGCGGCGCUCUGGGCCGGAACUGACGCUAAAGAGCGAAAGCGUGGGGAGCGAACAG
Molecule: ribosomal RNA, 404 nt
Filed under: uncultured bacterium
Lineage: Bacteria
Description: bacterial SSU rRNA
Rfam family: Bacterial small subunit ribosomal RNA
Source: RNAcentral